RNAcentral lists this microRNA precursor (134 nucleotides) under Marmota monax (woodchuck). The record is from RNAcentral. Lineage: Eukaryota; Metazoa; Chordata; Mammalia; Rodentia; Sciuridae.
AGAGAGAGGGAGAGAGAGAGAGAGAGAGAUAUAUAUAUAUAUAUAUAUAAAUAUAGAUAGAUAUAGAUAUAGAUAGAUAUAGAUAGAUAUAUAUAUAUAUAUAUCUCUCUCUCUCUCUCUCUCCUCUCUUUCUC